Non-coding RNA from Camellia sinensis, 788 nucleotides. The record is from RefSeq and is a predicted model, not a curated record. NCBI's taxonomy places the organism in Eukaryota, Viridiplantae, Streptophyta, Magnoliopsida, Ericales, Theaceae.
CUCUGGCUCAAAUGCCCCGAAAGCGUGGGCUCACGCGUAGAACAGCUCUAUCUCACUCUCUCGUCUCUCUUUUCUCAGUGUUAGCUCGCUCGCCUCUCUCCUCUUUUGUUAGUGUUAAAUCGAAGCUCUCAAACUCUCUCUCUAUUGCCCUGUUUGUCAUCAUCUCCGAAUCAUUCGAGUCUAUCUCCUCCGAGACGACGCCAGAAAGUUGUUGUUCUGUCACCUCCUCUCUCCUCCCAAACGACACCGAAAAGUUGUAUUGUGGAAAAGACUGUCAUCGUGCUCAGUGGUCAGCGGGAUACUCCUCUCACAAGUUCACGCUCACACCCGAUUUCCCACUGUCGGAUUACCGACCAAUUUCUUUCGAAUCUCAAACUCAAAACUCGGGUUUUGUAUUUUGCCCCAAUAAUUUCAAUUAACCUUUCUAUCACAAAACUAGAUGAUGAUGAUGGGGACGUUACCUCCACAAUCUAUUCCAAUACUGGACCUCGUAAAGCUAUUCGAGCAGAAGAAUUGAAUGAUGUAAGGACAAGGCUUUUUGAGAUGGAAAAUGAAAUUCGUGACCAUGGUAAAAGGCUUCAAAGGAUGGACAAGAAUUUCAAGGCUAUGAUUUUUGUGAUUGUAGUAUGUAUCAUUUUGUACUUCAUUAUGUAAGACACUUGACUGUUAGUUUUUGGGAAAUUUGAUGAAUGUAAUUAUGGAUGUAAUGGACAUGUUGGAUGUUAGGAAUUUAAUUGAAUGUGGUGUUGUAGGAAUUUCUUAAGGAAUUUGGUCCUUCCCUAAUUAAA